Molecule: ribosomal RNA, 468 nt
Filed under: uncultured bacterium
Lineage: Bacteria
Description: partial 16S ribosomal RNA
Rfam family: Bacterial small subunit ribosomal RNA
Source: RNAcentral
GACGAACGCUGGCGGCGUGCUUAACACAUGCAAGUCGAACGGAAAGGCCCUGCUUUUGUGGGGUGCUCGAGUGGCGAACGCGUGAGUAACACGUGAGUAACCUGCCCUUGACUUUGGGAUAACUUCAGGAAACUGGGGCUAAUACCGGAUAGGAGCUCCUGCUGCAUGGUGGUGGUUGGAAAGUUUCGGCCGUUGGGGAUGGACUCGCGGCUUAUCAGCUUGUUGGUGAGGUAGUGGCUUACCAAGGCUUUGACGGGUAGCCGGCCUGAGAGGGUUGCCGGCCACAUUGGGACUGAGAUACGGACCAGACUCCUACGGGAGGCAGCAGGGGGGAAUAUUGCAGAAUGGGCGGAAGCCUGAUGCAGCAACGCCGCGUGCGGGAUGACGGCCUUCGGGUUGUAAACCGCUUUCGCCUGUGACGAAGCGUGAGUGACGGUAAUGGGUAAAGAAGCACCGGCUAACUACGUG